This 82-nucleotide transfer RNA is filed under the name Anatilimnocola aggregata. RNAcentral's name for it is "Planctomycetes bacterium ETA_A8 tRNA-Leu". It matches the Rfam family "tRNA". From Rfam's summary of the family: Transfer RNA (tRNA) molecules are approximately 80 nucleotides in length. The record is from RNAcentral. Lineage: Bacteria; Pseudomonadati; Planctomycetota; Planctomycetia; Pirellulales; Pirellulaceae.
AGCCAAGUGGUGAAACGGCAGACACGCGGCCCUCAAAACGUCGCGCCGAGAGGCAUGAGAGUUCAAAUCUCUCCUUGGCUAC